AGACAGGAGCUAAAGAGUGCCGAAAGACAGGCUAGACAAAUAAAUAAAUAACAAAACAAAACAAAAACAAAAACAAAACAAAAACAGAAAAUGUAGCGAUGCAACAAAACAAAGAGACGAACAUAUGCAAACCACAAGUUCAAAAAAGGCCAUUUUGUGCUGUUAAUAUAUCUCAUAGGUCUUGCAUGGCUGCCAACACUGAUUUCCCAUUAUCCAGUCAUCUCAACACCUCUCAAAUUAAUUUCAUUUUAACCUAUUCUCUCUGUCAAAAUAUUUUCGCGCCAGAAAAUGUCAGAAGAACUCCCAAGUGGCCAGCAGCGCGCGCAAUACCAGGAUCCCUUGCGCACCAGACAUGCGCACUGGUCCCUGAUCUCUUUGACAAAGCAGACGACAGAUCUCGACAGCUUGACUCGCCUCCUGAGAUUUCUAGAUGAACGCUGUGAUCUUUCAUCGCCGCCAGUUCAUCCUCUACUCUCGACACGCUCAAUCUCUGACUGAAUAUGAAAUCUCGCGGAACAUUUUGGUGAGCAAGACGAACCAGAACGGAGUGGUUGGCGUUUCUUUGCAAACUUGGCAUUGGUGUGGAAACAGAGAACUCCGUCAGAUCAUAUACAAUCAUUUACCUCGGGUGACCUCCCUGCUCAUUAAUAAUUAAUCAGGCGCUGAUGUGCAGGAAAGGCCGUGUUACCCGAGGUACAACAAGAAAAGGGUAAUGUAUACACCGAAGCGCCAUUUGAUGCGAUCCGAGCGGGGGUCACUCAAGAGAUCACAGGCUAAUCGAGGAGACCCGUGGAAAAGAAUACAAACAGACAGAAGCGAUAAAAAAUCGAAGCUUUGUCGGACAGGAAGGAAGAACACGCAUCAGAGGAAAUCGCAGACGAUAGCCACGGUCUGAAAGGUUUGAAAUUUCCGUUGACUGUAGCAGACGUGCAAGACAAGCCUGAGGCUGGGGAAUUCGCCUCGCUUUCAUUAGUCUUUGAAUUCUGGUGACCUGCAACACACACAUUUUCAUCAAAUAAAUGUCCAGUUUACCGUCUAUCAAUAUCUAUUCAAAACUAUUCAAAAUCUCCUUUCGUAUUAUAAUAUAUAGAUUUCCCCUUCCAAUUUUCGAGUUCGAGAAAAAUCAUGGACUUUUCGCUUCGAUACUUAAUAUAUCAUCAUUAACUUUCUAUUCGAUCUUGAACUCUUGUGUUGAGCUUAUAGCUUGUAAAUUGUUAAAACUGGUAAUUCAAACCAGUUUAAGGGCGAACAUUUUGUGAAUAAGUGAUCUCGACUAUUAAAAUAUGAACAUAUGUUUGACUUUCCUUGGAUGAUGAUGGAUGAUGGAUGAUGGAUAAAACCCCAACCAAAUCGCAAUUUAUAUAGCGCAUGAUCACAUUCACGAAGAAACUCGCUCUGAGCGCGACAAGAACGCGACGUGGACAGCAUACGAAGAACGGAAGAAUAAAUAACAAUACUAACAAGUAACAAAAGACUAACAUAGAACAUAAAACUUAUUUCAGACUCCUGAAUUGUUAAUCUUGUAGCAAAACGAUGCAAAAUACUGUCCGCUUGCUUAUUGUCCAAAGAAAUUUUAUUUUAUUUUAUUUUAUUUUAUUUUAUUUUAUUUUAUUUUAUUUUAUUUUAUUUUAUAACUAAGAUUUCAAAUCCAAACCAAUCCUAAAAAGCUUGAUAUUCUUUCACUCAAAGCAUUUUUCUUUCUACAUUUUCUACAAAAUUUCUUUCAAAACCUACUUUUCGAAUUAAAAAAACUGCUAACAAACAGACCGGGUGGUUUUCACGGGGCCUCAGCUACCUGAAGUUUUUGUCACUUGAUCACUCGAUCAUGUAAUAAAAGAGUUUUACCUGACACCGGCCGCGCAUAAGAUGAAACAUGCAAAAACAUUUUUUUCAUACAGAGCGAUGUUUUUACUGUAUUCAUAAUCACGUUAUUAUACAGAUGAACUGCAAGGCGAGAAAUCCUAUCCCUCCUACAAUUUUUUUCUCCUAGGUUUGUAAACAUGGAGACCUGUGGAGAAAUCUCCUCGGUCUGAAACAGCAAUUAGUAGUUGAGGAGAUAGCAGGCGUUUACUUUGCGAUUGAAGACGAAACCAAACGCACCUCUUCUUCGGGAGAGUAAGCGGAAGAAAGGGAGGAAUUGAAAAAGAAGUGGUUUGUCCUUUAAGUUUCCAAUUAGCACGUGGCAAGAGAUUGAAAAGAUGAUUUAAUUUAGCGAGAUUUGGUUUGUGAAGAGCGCUUCGUGAAGUGAUUCUAAGAUGGUCGCUCGACGAAUGGCAGUCGAAGAUUUGUAAACGUGUCAUGCAUAUUGCAUGAUAUGGAAACUGUAAUCUGAUGAGCUAGAGUUUACCCCGAAACUAUUGUGAAUUACCGAUUAAAUGAUUUGUUUA
Pomacea canaliculata is the source of this 2387-nucleotide long non-coding RNA. RefSeq lists it as uncharacterized. Lineage: Eukaryota; Metazoa; Mollusca; Gastropoda; Architaenioglossa; Ampullariidae. The record is from RefSeq and is a predicted model, not a curated record. The transcript has 3 exons.